CCAGACUCCUACGGGAGGCAGCAGUAGGGAAUCUUCGGCAAUGGACGGAAGUCUGACCGAGCAACGCCGCGUGAGUGAAGAAGGUUUUCGGAUCGUAAAGCUCUGUUGUAAGAGAAGAACGAGUGUGAGAGUGGAAAGUUCACACUGUGACGGUAUCUUACCAGAAAGGGACGGCUAACUACGUGCCAGCAGCCGCGGUAAUACGUAGGUCCCGAGCGUUGUCCGGAUUUAUUGGGCGUAAAGCGAGCGCAGGCGGUUAGAUAAGUCUGAAGUUAAAGGCUGUGGCUUAACCAUAGUACGCUUUGGAAACUGUUUAACUUGAGUGCAAGAGGGGAGAGUGGAAUUCCAUGUGUAGCGGUGAAAUGCGUAGAUAUAUGGAGGAACACCGGUGGCGAAAGCGGCUCUCUGGCUUGUAACUGACGCUGAGGCUCGAAAGCGUGGGGAGCAAACAGGAUUAGAUACCCUGGUAGUCCACGCCGUAAACGAUGAGUGCUAGGUGUUAGAUCCUUUCCGGGGUUUAGUGCCGCAGCUAACGCAUUAAGCACUCCGCCUGGGGAGUACGACCGCAAGGUUGAAACUCAAAGGAAUUGACGGGGCCCGCACAAG
This 606-nucleotide ribosomal RNA is filed under the name uncultured bacterium. RNAcentral's name for it is "bacterial SSU rRNA". It matches the Rfam family "Bacterial small subunit ribosomal RNA", at positions 331 to 929 of the family's 1533-position model. The record is from RNAcentral.